RNAcentral lists this ribosomal RNA (517 nucleotides) under uncultured bacterium. RNAcentral describes it as "bacterial SSU rRNA". It matches the Rfam family "Bacterial small subunit ribosomal RNA", at positions 29 to 518 of the family's 1533-position model. The record is from RNAcentral.
ACGAACGCUGGCGGCGUGCCUAAUACAUGCAAGUCGAACGGUCUUUCUAUGGAAGCUUGCUUCCACUGAGAAGAUAGUGGCGAACGGGUGAGUAACACGUGGGUAACCUGCCCAUAAGAGGGGGAUAACAUCCGGAAACGGGUGCUAAUACCGCAUAGUUUUCUUGAUCGCAUGAUUGAGAAAGGAAAGACGGCCUUUGUGCUGUCGCUUAUGGAUGGACCCGCGGCGUAUUAGUUAGUUGGUGAGGUAAUGGCUCACCAAGACGAUGAUACGUAGCCGACCUGAGAGGGUGAUCGGCCACAUUGGGACUGAGACACGGCCCAAACUCCUACGGGAGGCAGCAGUAGGGAAUCUUCCGCAAUGGACGAAAGUCUGACGGAGCAACGCCGCGUGAGUGAAGAAAAGGUUUUCGGAUCGUAAAACUCUGUUGUCAGAGAAGAACAAGUUGGAGAGUAACUGCUCCAGCCUUGACGGUAUCUGACCAGAAAGCCACGGCUAACUACGUGCCAGCCGCUGC